CCCUAUGGGGUGCACCAGGGUGGGGACGCCCGUCUUCGAUGCCCAUCUCAUCGACAUUGGCACAGGCUUCGAAUCCAAGGAGAACGCCAACCUGCAGGAGAACGCUGAGACCAGCCACAAGAAGAAGGCGGAUAAAAUAAGCAAAGAGCAGUACCUUUUGCUUCUGCCCCCAUACCUUGCCGACCGCCACCUGGCAGGAGACCUGCAUAUCCAUGACCUGGAGUACUUCGGAACCAGGCCGUUCCGCCAGGACUGGGAUCUGCGCUACUUCCUCUACGACGGCCUGAUGCCGGACGGCCUGGGCACCAAGGCCAGCGUUGCCGGCCCGGCCAAAAAGCCUGAGGUGGCCAUACUGCAUGCGGUCAAGGCCCUGGGCAGCGCCCAGACCAACUUUGCGGGAGGGC
This 404-nucleotide ribosomal RNA is filed under the name uncultured prokaryote. Its description in RNAcentral is "partial 16S ribosomal RNA". The record is from RNAcentral.